Molecule: unclassified non-coding RNA, 143 nt
Filed under: soil metagenome
Description: partial internal transcribed spacer 1
Source: RNAcentral
CAUAAUAAGUGUUUUAUGGCACUUCUUAAAUCCAUAUCCACCUUGUGUGCAAUGUCAGUCGAUUUCUUUAUGGAGAUCGACCAAACAUCAACUUAUUUUUUAACUGUCUGUCUGAAAACUAUUAUGAAUAAACAAUUCAAAUA